GGCAGCCGUGAGGGGCAGCUCCGACGGCGACAAAGGGAGCGCUGGGUGGGUGGUAGUGGGGUUUAAUUUCCUCGCUAUCUGAAUAAAUAGCAGUAAAUUACACUAAUUUCCUCCAGCCGAAUCCGUUUCACGCGUCGUUAUCUCCAUUCACGAGCUUUUUACUCCUUGUUUUCCGUUCGUGUUUUCCUGCUGAGGAAGGGCCUUGGGGACCUUGUUUGCCUGCGGCUCCUCUCAGUCCAACCCCGAGCAGGCAUCUUCCUUGUCAGGGCUUUAGGUGCCCUUCUCUUCAUUUUGAAACGCUUGUGGUUAAUGGGAAAUAUUUUAGCUAAACUUACAUGAAGAUCUGAGUUAGAAAGAUUACAAGAGAAGGCCAAGUUAGAAUAGGAAAGUAUUUGUUAAAAGUUGCUGUUGCAGGGGAGGGACAAAGGCAAAUGAAGCUUUAGUUAACAGACUGGAUGUUCAGUCCUUUGUGGUGCAGGAAAAUUUUAGAACUUGUUUUUUAAUUUACAUAAGGAAUUUCAUCCUACCUGCGUUCACAGAUGAGUGUGCAUUUUCAGGUCAUGCAAAAGAAGCUGCAUGCCAGCCACAGAUGCAGAGUGUUUUCAGACUUCUUCCCAGUAAGUAAAUAUAGAUAAAUUUUCCAUACAUUGGAACUGCCAGUGUGUUUAGCAAUUAUCAAAAAUAUUGGUGGGUCUAAUAAGUUACUUUUGUGUUUAAGUUUAAG
RNAcentral lists this long non-coding RNA (724 nucleotides) under Cyanistes caeruleus (blue tit). RNAcentral's name for it is "lncRNA (ENSCCEG00000015498.1)". The record is from RNAcentral. Lineage: Eukaryota; Metazoa; Chordata; Aves; Passeriformes; Paridae.